Grammomys surdaster is the source of this 147-nucleotide small nucleolar RNA. RefSeq annotates it as small nucleolar RNA SNORA48. The transcript has a single exon. NCBI's taxonomy places the organism in Eukaryota, Metazoa, Chordata, Mammalia, Rodentia, Muridae. The record is from RefSeq and is a predicted model, not a curated record.
AACCCCUGGCAAUGGGCAAGGAAACCCCUUGUUGAUGCUGGUGUUCUUAUGUCAGUCAGGGGCAGAGCAUAUGGCAGUCCUUCCUUUCUUCAUCUAGCUUGAUGCCUGACUUGGUGGCCAAAGCUGUCUUAUGCCUAGGAGUCAUAA